Molecule: ribosomal RNA, 491 nt
Filed under: uncultured bacterium
Lineage: Bacteria
Description: partial 16S ribosomal RNA
Rfam family: Bacterial small subunit ribosomal RNA
Source: RNAcentral
AGUGAACGCUGGCGGUAGGCCUAACACAUGCAGUCGGACCGCAGCACCGUAAGCGCUUGCCCUUACGGGUGGCGAGUGGCCGGCGGGUGAGGAAUACAUCGGAAUCUACUUUUUCGUGGGGGAAAACGUAGGGAAACUUACGCUAAUACCGCAUUAGAUCUAAGGGUGAAAGCCAGGGGUCUUCGGACCUUGCGCGAUUGCAUGAGCCGAUGUCGGAUUAGCUAGUUGGCGGGGUAAAGGCCCACCAAGGCGACGAUCCGUAGCUGGUCUGAGAGGAUGAUCAGCCACACUGGAACUGAGACACGGUCCAGACUCCUACGGGAGGCAGCAGUGGGGAAUAUUGGACAAUGGGCGCAAGCCUGAUCCAGCCAUACCGCGUGGGUGAAGAAGGCCUUCGGGUUGUAAAGCCCUUUUGUUGGGAAAGAAAAGCAGCAGGUUAAUACCCCGCUGUUCUGACGGUACCCAAAGAAUAAGCACCGGCUAACUUCGUG